GCAGCGAGCGCAGAGAUGGCUUUAGGGAUGGAGAUGCUGCUUGAGGAGCCCGCAGAUAAGUUUUUCUAUUAAAAAAGAUAGGCGUUAGUGUAUUUCUUUAGGGAUUAUAAGUAGUGAAAAUACGGAGAUACUGCUUUGCAUUAAGUUCUUAGAUAAAUUUUAGGGAAAAUAUGAAGACUUAAAGAGUAGUUGGAGAAAGGAAGAGGGAAGAAAAAAGAUAAUUUUAGAACCUGAGGGAGGUUAAGAGCUGAAAUUUUUUCAUGGAGUGAAAAAUUUAAAAGAAUUGAUGAGCUAGGACUGCAAUGUCUGGAUUUUUUUUUUAAAGCCUUAACUUGAAGGGCAACCUUUUACCUUAACAUUAAAACGUUGGGUUACGUAAAUCGAACCUAAACGUUUUAAAAGGUUGAGUUGUAGGUGAUUAAAAUACUACAAAGGCCAUCUUAAGAUUUAACUGAAGGUGGUUUCAGAAAUAAUGCCUUCAGAUUCACGGCGCAGUAAAAAUGGCGUCAUUUGAAGCCUGCUUGAUACUAAGGCUUUGUUUGGCUAAAGUUGACGGAAAUAUUAGGAAUGGUAGGAAAGAAAAUUGGAAGUUUGAAGUGGAAAAUUCGGAAGACAGAAGUACAGGAAGGUGAAGAAAAAACUAGAGAAGAUAAGAGAUACACGUUUUAGAAGAUAAAACCUGAGCCUAGUAAGUAGGCAGAAAAAGACAAAUCUAGGAGAAAAUUGAAAAUACGGUCGAGUGCUUAAGAUAGAAUGAAAAGAAAGCUAUUGGACGCAAACAUACAAGAUAGACGUCCAAAAAUUUAGAUAGUUCAAAAUCAAUAAUGUUGGAUAAAUUACAGGAACAAAAACUAAGGAAAUUUUUAUAGCCAAUAAGAAUUUAUUGUAAAAGCCCAUCAACUUAUUUCUGGUGGUGCAAAAGUUAGAUCUCAGAAGAUGAGGGUUUUUUUUUUUAAAACUACUGUAGACCAGGACCAACUUAGAAGAAAAUCCGGAAACUAGGAGAGUCAAUUUAAAAUCUCAGCAAAAAGUUACUGAAGGGGACUGAAGUAACUUAAAAGUUAAGAAUGUAUUUGGGAGAGUUAAAAAUCUGAAAGGCCUUAAAUGCGGUAGCGUAGUUUCCUUUGGAAAAUGUAAAGGACUUUAUAAGUGAAUUAAAUUGAAGAGCAAGAAUAACCAUCGAGUUAUUGGACUUUGAGCUAAGAUGAAUGUUUAAAUCCUGAGGACUAGGCGCUAAAUAACAGCUGACGCAGGUGCUACGCAGAAGUGGAUUCAGUGAAGCUAGGAAGACAGGAGCGGCAGACAGGAUUCGGAGCCAGUGUUGGUGAAAACUAGGACUGAGGAGCCAGCGGCAGUUCGUGAAGAUAGGAAAGAGAAGCCCGGGAGCCAGUGCGACUUGGUGAAGGAAGCUAGGAAGAAGGAGCGAGUCCUAACGAUUUGGAGGUGAAGCUAGGAGAGGAUUCCAGGAAGGAGGAAGCCAGUGCGGUGUGGUGAAGCUAGCGUGCGGCUUGGCUUGGCAACCACGCGGAGGCGGCGAGCAGGCGGAGUGGAGGAUAGAUAGAGGAUCCUAGAGCAGCAGACCAGUGUACGAGCCCCGCAGGGAGAGCCAGUGGUGUGGUAAAAAUCCGUGAAGUCGGCACUAUCGUGGGUUUUUUUUCCUCCUGUAACUCAGUAUGGUGAUUUAAUAAAACUUAAUACUACUAUAGGAGCUUCAGAGCAAAGGAGGUGGCUUAAUGAUCCUGAAGGGAUUUCUUCUGGUGGUAGCUUUUGUAUUAUCAAGUAAGAUUCUUUUUUCGGCUGUAUAUAAGCAAGAUUGUUUGGUUUAUUCUUUUCUUUUUUAGCGUAGGAAAAGUUUGUUGUUAAGGUAUGCUUCAAAAUUAUUGUUAAUUGUAUUUUGAAUUUACAUCUAAGCCUUGUAAAUCAUAACUGAUAAGAGGGGGUGGGCUUUUGUUGAUGAGGGAGGGGAAACCUUUUUUUUUUGUAGACUUUUUUCAGAUAACAUCUUCUGAGUCAUAACCAGCCUGGCAAUCUGAUGGCCUAGAUGGAGAGGGGAACAGCUCCUUGGUGAAUGAUAAGUAAAGGCAGAAAAGAUUGUAUUUCAUACCUACAUUGGGGAAAAAAGCAUAACCCUGAGAUUUUCUUCUGAUGAACACAUUGUCUGCACAUGCAAAAAAAAAAGCAAAUGAAAACUACCAAUUUAAAGUUAAUGGAAUCUACUACUAUAAAGUUAAUGGCUUAUCAAGCUGUAUCCACAAAAAUAAUGAAUUGAUGAAAAAUAAAAAUAACGAUACAAUGAAGAUCAAAAUGUCAAUCUCAAUACUGCUUUUACAAAAGCAGAAUUAAAAAAGCGAAAUGAAAAUAGCGCUACAUAUUAAUCCUGGAAAAAAAAGAAGCUGAAAUAAUUGAAAUGAGUGGGAUCAAGUGAAUUGAGAGGAGGAAGAGGCUGUGCUGUUUGCCAAUCUUUCGUUUGCCUCAGACAGGUUUUUCUUCAUUAUCAGAAGAGUUGCUUCAUUUCAUCUGGGAGCAGAAAACAGCAGGCAGCUGUUAACAGAUAAGUUUAACUUGCAUCUGCAGUAUUGCAUGUUAGGAAUAAGUGCUUACCUUUGUGAAGAGCUGUGGAAGUCCUAGGUCCCUUACCUAAGGGAUUCCAGGAUUGUGAGGCAUCGUCCCAUCCAGCCUUUUAAAAUUAGACAGGACAGCGUUCCUGUGGGCUUUGAUGAUGGGACAGCACAUUUCAUUCAAGAGGCAAGUAAUUCCUUAAAGCCUCUUGAGAUUAGCAAAGAUAAUGUUUAUAAAACUAAGAACAUUUGUUUAGCCUUGAAUCUGACAGCCCUAUUUAAGGGAUAGUAUUGUACUGUUAAGAAUUCAGAUUUUGUUAAUCUUGCUAAAAUUCAAAUGUUACGUGUAUUGUGCAGAAAACCAUUAAAUCAUUCAAAAUAAAAUACUUUUAUUUUUAGAGAAUGUAUGCUUUUAGGAAGCUGUCUCCUUAUUUAAAUAAAACAUUGUUUGUCUGUAGUUAGUGUUGGGGCAAUCUGGGGGGGGUUUCUUCUCAUCUUUCAGAAACUUUGUCUGCGAACACUCUUUAAUGGACAAGAUCAGGAAAUUGAGCAGAAGAACGAAUUUAAUUUAAGGCAGGAAAAAAUUUUGUCCUUCGUAAAAGUGAUGAGCAUUUAAUAAUUCCAGGCACAUGGCAAUAGAGGCCCUCUAAAUAAGGAAUAAAUACCUCUUAGACAGGUGGGAGAUUAUGAUCAGAAGAACAGGUAACUUAACUCCUACAAUGUUUGCAGAAAGUCAGGAGUCUGUCUAGUGGUUAAACUAGAGUAAUGGAAUGUACUGUCCACAUUUCCAGUUUGCAUGUUAACUUUGCUUAGUCAUCUCAUCUGGUGUUAGCCAGUGUUCACACUGUUGGCCUACUUUUUAGAUACCUGGUGGGGGGGUGGUUGGUUUUUUUUUUUUUUUUUAAAGAAUUUUCCUUUGCAGAGGCUUCAUUUCAUCCUUCGUGAAGCUUUUCAGGAUUUUGGCUUUCAUGUAAACGCUUGGCUCUGCCUUCUGUUCUCCUAGGGAGUGUUUCAGACCUUGCAGUGAGUUUAUCGGCAUAUUUAAGUAUAAACAUUUUUCCCCUUGAAUUUGGAGGGAAGGGAGGAGAGGGUGGGGCUUACUUGUUUUAGCUUUUUUUUUUACAGACUACACAGAAUGCAGUUGUCUUGACCUCAGGUCUGUGUGUUCUCUUGGCAAGUAAUACAGUACUGUUCUGAUCCGCUGCUAUUAGAAUGCAUUUUGAAACGACUGGAGUAUGAGUCAAAGUUGUGUUUCCCCCAAUGCUUGGAGUGGAGUAGUGAUUGUUAAAAGAAAAUCCAGCUGAGUGAUAAAAGGCUGAGUGUUGAGGAAAUUUCUGCAGCUUUUUAAGCAUUCAUGUUUGUGAUUGGAGCGGAGUCCCUUUUGCUGUGCUUUUUUUUAGGAACAUUCAAAACAACAGACAGACGUAUGCGAAAGGCCAGAGAAGCCAGACCCAGUAAGGAAAAAUAGCUUACUUACUUUUAAAAUAAUAAACCAAAAAACACUGCAUUUUAAAUGUGGGGAUUGGGAACCACUAGUUCUUGCAGAUGGUAUUCUUCAGACUAUAGAAGGAGCUUCCAGUUGAAUUCACCAGUGGACAAAAUGAGGACAACAGGUGAACAAGUUUUUUCUAUGUCUACAUACCAAGUCAGAUCUGUAUGAGUAAACAACAAUUCAGUGUUAAAUGACCUUUCAGCUUUACGCUGGAGUCAACAGCAUGAGCAAGUUGUUUGUUGGCCUGGGGGUGGAGGGGUGAGGUGGGCGCUAAGCCUUUUUUUUAAGAUUUUUCAGGUACCCCUCACUAAAGGCACCAAAGGCUUAAAGUAGGACAACCAUGGAGUCUUCCUGUGGCAAGAGAGACAACAAAGCGCUAUUAACUAAGGUCAAUCAAAAUGGUGUCGGCCUCACAGCCCCAUCUUCUGUUAGAAAUGAGGACUUGACUCAACCCCCUUGACAAUGUGCAUUGAGGCUCUCUGGGGGAGCGAGCAUUUAAAGGAAUGCUUGAGUACCUUGUAUAUAUAUCCCUGUGCUUGUCCUAAUAUUUAAUUUGGCUGUUUUCAUAGCAGCUGUUAAUGAAGCCUGAACUUCAAGUGAUGCUUGAAGGGGAGGGAAAGGGGGAAAGCGGGCAACCACUUUUCCCUAGCUUUUCCAGAAGCCUGUUAAAAAGCAAGGUCUCCCCACAAGUGACUUCUCUGCCACAUCGCCACCCUGUGCCUUUGGCCUAGCGCAGACCCUUCACCCCUCACCUCGAUGCUGCUGGUAGCUUGGAUCCUUGUGGGCAUGAUCCAUAAUCGCUUUUAAGGUAAUUGCCAAGGUCUUCCGGUGGGUUGCACUACUAGAAAAGACCAUUAAUUUACCUGUCAACAGGUAAUAUUUAGACCACAACUAAAAAGCUCUUAAAGUGUUGUAAAUGUGUGGCAUUAUCCAAUGACUUUAAAAAAACAUUUCAAACCAGUAAGUGGAGAAAUAGCAUCUAAGAACUGUCAUAUUGGGUGGGAGAGUACAUUUAUGAACUGAAAAGUGUUUUGGCAGUUGAGAGGGCUGUUGGGUGGGAUUGCAAAAAUUCUCUGCUAAGACUUUUUCAGGUGAACAUAACAGACUUGACCAAGCUAGCACCUUAGCUGAAGCAGAUUCUCCAGUGCUCUUCAAUAGGGUUAUUGAUAAAGGUUUUUCUUUUCCUGAGAAAACAAAAUCUUUUUUGUUUUCUCAGGUUUUGCUUUUUUGCCUUUUCUUAUCUUAAAAAAAAAAGCAAAAGAUGCUGGUGGUUGGCACUCCUGGUUUCCAGGACGGGGUUCAAAUCCCUGUGGCGUCUUUGCUUGACUUUUACUCUCCAGACUCUACUUCCUGUCUCUCAGGUGCUAGGCCUUAGAAUUAGGGGAGGUGGAAGAUAAUAGUGUGAAACUCUGCAUUUGUGUUUACAUGACAACGUAAUGUAACUACCAUGCAUCUAAUUUGCAGAUAUUCCUCAUGCAACUAGUGAUUGGAGAAGCCUGUUUUGAAAAAUUGAUUACACAUAUCAAUAAAAAUUGAAAAAACUUCA
Bos taurus (domestic cattle) is the source of this 5596-nucleotide long non-coding RNA. Lineage: Eukaryota; Metazoa; Chordata; Mammalia; Artiodactyla; Bovidae. The record is from Ensembl.